ACCGCUUUAAGAUGAAUUGAUUCAUAAAGUGAUUCAUAUCCGACAUAUCACACAGAAACUCAAUUUUGUAAUUUGUAAACCGUUUUGGUAGCAUAUUGUAGAAGAACAUAUUGUACAACAUAUUGUACCAGUUAUUUCGCAUUGCUUUCGGUUUUAGUUUUGCAAAAGCCACUUCCUGUAGAUUUUCACACAUUAAAAGUCAGAGGCUUCAAGUACAUUUGCAUACUUCUUCCUUUUUAUUGAGUCCACAGUUUGCUUCUUGUGAGGUGACUUUUGUCUCUUGAGCCAAGUGCAUCACACUGCACAUUAAGGGGAUCCUUUGCUGUGAAAGUGCCUGGGCCUGAUAUACUAUCCUGUGACAGCAGUUCUUCAAGUGUUGAGCCUGCCUGUGGUCAAGUGGGUGUUGAACUGUCGCUCUGCUCAGGAUUGCAGUCUCUUCACAUGCAGUAAAUUUUGCUUCUUGUGAGGUGACUUUUGUCUCUUGAGCCAAGUGCAUCACACUGCACAUUAAGGGGAUCCUUUGCUGUGAAAGUGCCUGGGCCUGAUAUACUAUUGAACACAGCAGAAGAAGCUAUGUCUGAAGCAAGGUUAAUGUUUAGGGUUUAUACAAGAGAGGCAAUAUUUCUUAUUUUUGGUCUGUGUGCUGGCAUACCAGCUCUGGCUUGGGCUCUCCGUGUGUUGUUGCUACACGUCCGUGGUGGCGGCAGAGUCUCCAUCUUCAUCAUCUUCCUCCUACUCAGUGGAGCUGUGGAGUUUUUCCUCAUUCCAUUCAUAGUGACAUUACAAAUUAGGUAUGAAUUUCCAAGAUUUGCUAUUCUUGCAUUUACUGGGACAAGGCUAUGUGGUUUGUGUUUCCACCAGCUGGUGGCGCUAGAGAGUAUUCUGUCUCUCAGACAUCCUCACUGCUUCACUCGCCUCUCCUCUCUUCUUUGCUCCAUUACAAUCUGUUUUGCCAUCUGCAUCUGCACCGUGUUUCACUCAAUCAGUCCAUUGCUCCUUUUAGUCAUUGCUGGGGUCCUGUUGGAAGUGGCUGUUGCUGCAUCAGUCCUUACAUGUGUGCUAACUGCUACAGCAUCAUGUUCCAGUGGG
Molecule: long non-coding RNA, 1089 nt
Organism: Clupea harengus (Atlantic herring)
Lineage: Eukaryota; Metazoa; Chordata; Actinopteri; Clupeiformes; Clupeidae
Source: Ensembl